This 65-nucleotide transfer RNA is filed under the name Benedenia seriolae. RNAcentral's name for it is "tRNA-Glu". Lineage: Eukaryota; Metazoa; Platyhelminthes; Monogenea; Capsalidea; Capsalidae. The record is from RNAcentral.
AUUAGUUUGGUGUAGUUAGCAUAUUAACUUUUCGUGUUAAAGGAGGAAAAUAUUUCUAACUAAUA